Molecule: long non-coding RNA, 1833 nt
Filed under: Nicotiana tabacum (common tobacco)
Lineage: Eukaryota; Viridiplantae; Streptophyta; Magnoliopsida; Solanales; Solanaceae
Description: long non-coding RNA (NTAB_LNC008225)
Source: RNAcentral
CUCAUUUUUAUCGAAGUUUGAUUGGAAGUUUGAUGUAUCUCAAAAAUAGCAGACCUGAUAUUUUGCAAGCAACAAGACUUUUGGCCAGAUUUGUGCAACAUCCAAGAAAGCAACACUUAGGGGCUGCCAAGCAAAUCGUAAGGUAUUUGAAGGGUACAAGCUCUUUUGGAAUAUGGUAACGGAACUCUAACAAUUUUAAGUUGUGAGGAUUUUCUGAUAGCGAUUGGGGAGGAUGAUCGAAAAAGUAUGACAUGCUAUGUAUUCACUAUGUGUACAGGGGUUGUUUCAUGGUGCUCGAAAAAAUAACCAUCGACUGCUUUGUCAUCAACGGAGGCUGAAUACAUGGUCGUUACUGCAGCUGCCUGUCUAGCUGUUUGGAUGCAAAGAUUACUGGACGAUAUGAAGCAAACUCAAAUGGAGGCCACCACCAUCUAUUGUGAUAAUCAGUCAACAAUUGCAAUAGUAAAGAAUCAUGUUCAUCAUAACAGAACAAGGCACAUAGAGACACGCCACCAUUUCAUAAGAGAGCUUGUUGGCAAAGGAGAGAUCAAGAUAGAGUAUUGCAACACCAAUGAUCAAGUUGCAGAUUUAUUUACGAAGCCUCUUUUAGCAAAGAAAUUCAUCUAUUUGAGGGAAUCAUUGGGUGUUGAAGAUUUCUGCAUUAAGGGGGAAUGUUAGAUAGUUACUGCAGAAAUUUACUUUUACCAUUUACUCUUUUUUACUUAGUUUAUUUUAACUGCCUUUGAAUUAGUCAAAUAUUGUAUGUUAGUGGAAGUUGUGGUUCCAUAUUAUUAGGAGUUAUUGUUUCAAAUAGUUGCUGAUAUCUCGUUGGUAGUGGCUCAAUUUGUAACUGUAGUCUUUUCUAUUUAAGGCAACAUUUUAAUGAAGAAAUACACAGCUUUUCAGUUCAACUUCUGGUAGCACACACACUGUUUGUUGAAAGUCUUCUUGUGUUCUUUUUCUAUUUAAACUUGAGGACUAGCAUCCUCUGUUCGUUGUUUUCAAUGUCAAGCAGGCAAAGUCAAAGCUUCAAGUUUGAAAAUGAGGGGAUUUGUGUUUCAUCCCCGAGCGUUAUCUUUCCACCAUGAUAUUUUCAGAUAUAAUAUCAGUUAAUUCACAAAGCCAAAGGCCCACGUGAACACAUGACAGUAGAUAAAGAAUAAGAGGCAAUAUAUCACUGUCACAUAAUGAAAACCACAAUAUUAAAGAUGGCAAAACGAAGGUGACCCAUCGGUGAUGAAAUCCAACUAGGCCAAGUUAAACAGACAAAGAUCACAAAUAUAACUUUGACCAGUGAGAGUUCCUCUAGUCAGUUUAUAGUUGCUGCCCAUGAGCUUAUAAUUAUUAUUGGAAGAAAUUUCCUGUUAUGCCUCCAAUAAUGAUCUGAAAAUUAGUGAUUGAAGAAGAUAACGGUGAACUGAAAAAAACAGGGAUAGUCAUGAAACAACCCAUUUCACGGAUUCAACAGCCUAGGAAAGUUGAAACAUGGACGACCCGGAUUUCAUUCCAAAUCAUCUCGUUUCGAGUCAAAUGGUGGUGCUUUUCAUGGAGCUCACCGUCGAUGUUGAUCUGACGACAAUUACGGUGGUGGGACAGGGUUGCUCUUUAGACAACAAAGAUUAGGAGGAGAAGACUAAAGAGAGGGGAAGCAGUGGGUGGUUUGAAACACAUUUUCCGGCCAGCCGGUGAUGAAAUUUGGCGGCGCAGUGGCGCUGGAGAGAGGGAGGUAAUGGCAGACUCCUCUCAAAAGAGAGGGAGAUCGAUAGGAUGAGUUAGGGUUUUUUGUUUUAAAAAUAUAAAAUCCUUUUUUUAAAAUCUGAAAAAUUCUUCCUU